GAUCCUGGCUUAGGAUGAACGCUAGCGACAGGCUUAACACAUGCAAGUCGAGGGGCAGCAUAAAAGUAGCAAUACUUGGUGGCGACCGGCGCACGGGUGAGUAACGCGUAUGCAACCUACCUAUCGAGAGGGGAAUAACCCGGCGAAAGUCGGACUAAUACCGCAUAAAACAGGGGCACCGCAUGGUGAUAUUUGUUAAAGAAAUUCGCUGAUAGAUGGGCAUGCGUUCCAUUAGGUAGUUGGUGAGGUAACGGCUCACCAAGCCGACGAUGGAUAGGGGAACUGAGAGGUUGGUCCCCCACACUGGUACUGAGACACGGACCAGACUCCUACGGGAGGCAGCAGUGAGGAAUAUUGGUCAAUGGGCGGGAGCCUGAACCAGCCAAGUCCGCGUGAAGGAAGAAGGAUCUAUGGUUCGUAAACUUCUUUUGCAGGGGAAUAAAGUGCAGGACGUGUCCUGUUUUGUAUGUACCCUGAGGAUAAGGAUCGGCUAACUCCGUGCCAGCCGCCGC
RNAcentral lists this ribosomal RNA (512 nucleotides) under uncultured bacterium. Its description in RNAcentral is "bacterial SSU rRNA". It matches the Rfam family "Bacterial small subunit ribosomal RNA", at positions 15 to 518 of the family's 1533-position model. The record is from RNAcentral.